UUUGCGUCGAAGGUAUACCGGUAAGGAGUGCUGGAGCGAAUAGAAGUGAGCAUGCAGGCAUGAGUAGCGAUAAUUAAUGUGAGAAUCAUUAACGCCGUAAACCCAAGGUUUCCUACGCGAUGCUCGUCAUCGUAGGGUUAGUCGGGUCCUAAGUCGAGUCCGAAAGGGGUAGACGAUGGCAAAUUGGUUAAUAUUCCAAUACCAACAUUAGUGUGCGAUGGAAGGACGCUUAGGGCUAAGGGGGCUAGCGGAUGGAAGUGCUAGUCUAAGGUCGUAGGAGGUUAUACAGGCAAAUCCGUAUAACAAUACUCCGAGAACUGAAAGGCUUUUUGAAGUCUUCGGAUGGAUAGAAGAACCCCUGAUGCCGUCGAGCCAAGAAAAGUUUCUAAGUUUAGCUAAUGUUGCCCGUACCGUAAACCGACACAGGUGGGUGGGAUGAGUAUUCUAAGGCGCGUGGAAGAACUCUCUUUAAGGAACUCUGCAAAAUAGCACCGUAUCUUCGGUAUAAGGUGUGGUUA
This 518-nucleotide ribosomal RNA is filed under the name Campylobacter jejuni. Its description in RNAcentral is "partial 23S ribosomal RNA". It matches the Rfam family "Bacterial large subunit ribosomal RNA", at positions 1244 to 1754 of the family's 2925-position model. The record is from RNAcentral. Lineage: Bacteria; Pseudomonadati; Campylobacterota; Epsilonproteobacteria; Campylobacterales; Campylobacteraceae.